Molecule: ribosomal RNA, 468 nt
Filed under: uncultured bacterium
Lineage: Bacteria
Description: partial 16S ribosomal RNA
Rfam family: Bacterial small subunit ribosomal RNA
Source: RNAcentral
GACGAACGCUGGCGGCGUGCUUAACACAUGCAAGUCGAACGGAAAGGCCCUGCUUUUGUGGGGUGCUCGAGUGGCGAACGGGUGAGUAACACGUGAGUAACCUGCCCUUGACUUUGGGAUAACUUCGGGAAACUGGGGCUAAUGCCGGAUAGGAGCUCCUGCUGCAUGGUGGGGGUUGGAAAGUUUCGGCGGUUGGGGAUGGACUCGCGGCUUAUCAGCUUGUUGGUGGGGUAGUGGCUUACCAAGGCUUUGACGGGUAGCCGGCCUGAGAGGGUGACCGGCCACAUUGGGACUGAGAUACGGCCCAGACUCCUACGGGAGGCAGCAGUGGGGAAUAUUGCACAAUGGGCGGAAGCCUGAUGCAGCAACGCCGCGUGCGGGAUGACGGCCUUCGGGUUGUAAACCGCUUUCGCCUGUGACGAAGCGUGAGUGACGGUAAUGGGUAAAGAAGCACCGGCUAACUACGUG